CUCAGUAGACACCUGGCAUCAGCUCGCAUUCUAUCCAGAAAAUCCUUUCCUGACCUUGGUACUAUACAUUUGAAACUUCAAAGAAGAAAUGAAAUAUAAUUCCAUCUGAAAAUGCAAAAGCAAAUAUCAGCACAUAAUCAUUUGAAAACAAAAAAAUAUUAUAAGGAGAACCUACCAGAGUGGGAGCCUGAUGUCUAGUAAAGAAGAUCAAAAAGUUAAAAAAAAAAAAAAGGAG
Suricata suricatta (meerkat) is the source of this 235-nucleotide long non-coding RNA. RefSeq lists it as uncharacterized. The record is from RefSeq and is a predicted model, not a curated record. The transcript is spliced from 2 exons. Lineage: Eukaryota; Metazoa; Chordata; Mammalia; Carnivora; Herpestidae.